CUACAAAUCGCAUAGAAUUUCUUCUUUUCUACCAAGAUUGAUAGAUUCUAUCUAAGUGUAUCCUACUUCAAAUAGCAAACUUGAACCUACUGAAGCCAACAUACAUAGCAAAGAUCCGAAUGGCUAGGAUCUAAGUGAACGUGCAGUCAAACUUAGUAGCCUCACUGCGAAUAGCCGAUGACACCACAGGUCAAAGGACCACUCACACCACUGU
Molecule: long non-coding RNA, 214 nt
Filed under: Elaeis guineensis (African oil palm)
Lineage: Eukaryota; Viridiplantae; Streptophyta; Magnoliopsida; Arecales; Arecaceae
Description: long non-coding RNA (EGUI_LNC066070)
Source: RNAcentral